This 497-nucleotide ribosomal RNA is filed under the name uncultured bacterium. Its description in RNAcentral is "partial 16S ribosomal RNA". It matches the Rfam family "Bacterial small subunit ribosomal RNA", at positions 28 to 507 of the family's 1533-position model. The record is from RNAcentral.
GAUGAACGCUGGCGGCGUGCCUAAUACAUGCAAGUCGAGCGAACAGACGAGGAGCUUGCUCCUUUGACGUUAGCGGCGGACGGGUGAGUAACACGUAGGUAACCUACCUAUAAGACUGGGAUAACUUCGGGAAACCGGAGCUAAUACCGGAUAAUAUUUCGAACCGCAUGGUUCGAUAGUGAAAGAUGGCUUUGCUAUCACUUAUAGAUGGACCUGCGCCGUAUUAGCUAGUUGGUAAGGUAACGGCUUACCAAGGCAACGAUACGUAGCCGACCUGAGAGGGUGAUCGGCCACACUGGAACUGAGACACGGUCCAGACUCCUACGGGAGGCAGCAGUAGGGAACCUUCCGCAAUGGGCGAAAGCCUGACGAAGCAACGCCGCGUGAGUGAUGAAGGUCUUCGGAUCGUAAAACUCUGUUAUUAGGGAAGAACAAACGUGUAAGUAACUGUGCACGUCUUGACGGUACCUAAUCAGAAAGCCACGGCUAACUACGUG